CUUGGAGUUCUUGAGAACUUCCGGGUUCUAGAACACUUGGAACUUGCUCUGGCCUUUUGGACGAGCAUCUAGCCUUAGAUGGUGGUGGGUUUACUCCUCCAACCUCCUAAAAUUGCACGGCCAGGGUCAUGUGGCCCCUCCCGUCCCCGGGAGCCACAGAAGGGCUCUAGGUGGUGGUCUGUGCGGAUGUUAGUGAGAGCCCCGAUUAGGGCCUGACUGGUUUCACGAUCUAAUGACCAUGUGUGAGCUUGUGCUUUCCAACUCGCCGCAGGGACAAUGGGUCCCGGACCAAACGCUAUGCGGAGGUGAAGUUUGGGGCGUUCGCUCUGCCGCUGGAUUCGGAAGAACCGAACCUGGGGUCCAGCUCUGGCUUCUGUAUCUGUGUCUCUGAGCCGCGCGGGUCUUCAGGGCCGAGGCCAGGCCGGAGUGGGCUUGGCCAAGGGACGGGAUCUGCGGGUCUUUGGAGGAUCCUGGCUUUGUCCGCGGGGACUGGCGGAUCAGGAGGCGGCAAUCUCCAGUCUCAUUCUCGGGAUUCUGCACUUGGAUUCUAUUUGGGGUGAAAUUUCUAAGCUGGGGUCCACCUCGCGAGCUCUCUGACUUCCUUUUCCCGGAGGACGGUGGUCCCUGGUCAUUCACGCCGAACGCUUGGCCUCAGGGCUGGGGUCUGACCUACCCUGAGCCUGUAGGAACUUUCUCUUCCGUCCCCGCCGUGCCGCAUCUCCCUCGGUUUACGAACUCUGAACUCUUCCGGGCAUCACUAAAAGAAUCGGUUUUAUGGACGUAGUGUGUCGAUGAAGGUAUCCAAAGACAUGAACGCCGCUCGUUCCCGCGGUGGCUCGUUGGUCUAGGGGUAUGAUUCUCGCUUUGGGUGCGAGAGGUCCCGGGUUCAAAUCCCGGACGAGCCCUGAUGCACUUUUAGUUUUUACUCACAGCGUGAAGGCUUUGGACUUCAGCGAAAAGCUAGAUCUAGAUCCAAGGACAGAGUCGAAGGCAUAGCUCUUGUCCCCACAUCUGUUCUGCCGGAUAUGUCUGGUCCGACGCAGCCAUGGGGUCUAGGUGCAGCUGAAGGACAAAUGGCAUGCGCCCUGGACUGGAGCAGAGAACAAGGACAAAUCCCUCCCAGCCAUCUCUGUCUCCGCAGAUGUCUGGGUGUCGUGUACCAGGCCUCCCUGCUCUAGGCGCGUUGUUUUUCUUCGGUUAGAGGAAGGAGAGUGGCAUCGCGAGUGACCAUAACUGCAUUUGCCUUAUAAACAAGAACCUGCAUUGUGAUUUUCAUGGAAGGAAGAGACCAGGAGAGUUAAAGGACAAGCGUCAGACCCCAGGCAGGCGGCAGCAACGGAAGUGGUGUGCUCUAAUGUUGUGGCUCUCAUACUAGGCUGUAUAGCUCUUGUGUAGAUCUAGAACAUUCCUUGGACAGUGGGAGCAACUAAGGUUGCAGCUUUUGGAUGGCCUGGGUAUCUGGAUUCCUCAGCUCUCAUCUGAAAUGAUCUGCAGGAGAUUGUUAUUGACAACCAUACUGAUUAAGCCAAUUAAAAGUUUUAAGUGCUUUUUAUUCAGUGGUUCUCAACCUUCUCAAUCCUAAUGCUGAGAUCCUUUAAUACAGCUCCUUAUGCUGUGGUGAUCCCCAACCAUAAAAUCAUUUCGUUGCUACUUCAUAACUGCAAUUUUGCUACUGUUUUGAAUCAUAUUGGAAUGUAAAUUAUAAAGUAAUUUAUAAAGUAAAGUAAAGGCAAAACCCACACUGGGCAGUGGUGGUGCUCACCUUUAAUCCCAACACUCAGGAGGCAGAGACUGGUGGAUUUCCAUGAGUUUG
RNAcentral lists this transfer RNA (1813 nucleotides) under Cricetulus griseus (Chinese hamster). RNAcentral's name for it is "lncRNA (ENSCGRG00015032058.1)". The stretch from base 834 to 905 matches the Rfam family "tRNA". The record is from RNAcentral. Lineage: Eukaryota; Metazoa; Chordata; Mammalia; Rodentia; Cricetidae.